GUUGUACCAUAAAUUUUGACUACGAUGUUUCUCGUCUAUUUUAUUUUUCUGUCGUCUUUUUUUUAAUCAGUCGCGACGUUCUAACGAAAUUUCGGCAGAGAGGUAUUUUAAAAUACCUCAUUUGUUUGUUCAAGUACUUUUUUUUUUAUUUAUUUUAUUAUUUAUUCUUUUUUUAUUUAUUAUUAUUUAUCAAUAUUUAUUAUUAUUAUUAUUUAUAUUUAUUUUAUUUUAUUUCUCAAAAAAAGCAACCCUUUCUCUUCCUUUUUUCUCUACGUUUCCUUUCUUCUUUAUUUUUUUUUUUUUAUUAUUUAUUUUAUUCAUCUUUUUNNNNNNNNNNNNNNNNNNNNNNNNNNNNNNNNNAAAAAAAAAUCAAAUUUGUUCAAAAACAGCAACAGCACGCUCCCCUCCCUUUUAUCUUAUUUUAUUAUUUGUUAUUUUUUUUUCUUCUUUAAUUUUAAACAAUACAAAAAAAAAAGAAAAAAACACGCAACAGUACUGCAACCGGUACUGCUGCGCCUCCUUGCCUCCUUUUUCUCUUCACCUUUUGCUGCAACUUUAACUACAACAAGCAACAGUACAUCCCUUUCCUGCAAAAAAAUCUCACUUUAAUCAACAAGUUCAAACAGCAGCAGACCAAACAUUUUGCUUUUGUAAUUUUCCAUAAAACUUUGUUCACUCACACACUCUAGAUCAAAGGUCAACUUUGAUCUUGAGAGCUCUAUAAAUAGAGCCAAAACACACGCAGAAAGAAAGCAGGGAAGAAGAGGAGUCCGAAUCUUUUGGUCUUCAAGGGUUAGUUCGACCUUAACUUAUCUUUUUUUUUUUCCUAUUUUGUUUAAAAGUCUUCCUUUUGGGUUUGUUUUGAUUUUUGUGUGUUUACCAGAAUAAAAAACGAAUCACAGAACUUAGAUCAAAUAUUUUGAAUAAUUGCUUUUUGUCUUGGUUCGGAUUUGGAUUCGAAAAACAGUUUCUUGGGUUUGAUUUUGGGUGUUUUGAGGGUGGAUUUAGUGUUUAACANN
RNAcentral lists this long non-coding RNA (1019 nucleotides) under Trifolium pratense (red clover). RNAcentral describes it as "long non-coding RNA (TPRA_LNC001362)". The record is from RNAcentral. Lineage: Eukaryota; Viridiplantae; Streptophyta; Magnoliopsida; Fabales; Fabaceae.